UACGUAGGGGGCAAGCGUUGUCCGGAUUCAUUGGGCGUAAAGAGCGUGUAGGCGGCCAGGUAGGUCGGUUGUGAAAACUGGAGGCUCAACCUUCAGAGGUCGACCGAAACCAUCUGGCUAGAGUCCGGGAGAGGAGAGUGGAAUUCCUGGUGUAGCGGUGAAAUGCGUAGAUAUCUGGAGGAAUACCGGUGGCGAAGGCGGCAUCCUGGACCGACAUUGACGCUGAACGGCGAAAGCUAGGGGAGCAAACGGG
This 253-nucleotide ribosomal RNA is filed under the name uncultured bacterium. Its description in RNAcentral is "partial 16S ribosomal RNA". It matches the Rfam family "Bacterial small subunit ribosomal RNA", at positions 524 to 776 of the family's 1533-position model. The record is from RNAcentral.